AGUGUGAAUUAAUUUGACUAUCUCUUUAAUAUAUUAACAUCAGAUAUAAAAUGUAAUGUGAAAUGCUACUUUGUAUAAAAUGUUUUUCCAAAUGCCAAGAUAAUGAUUGACUGAAAGUAUGUAAUAAUUUGGUCUCAACCUAGUGUUGUUUAUUGUUUUCUUGUUGUAUGAUUGACUGAAAGUAUGUAAUAAUUUGGUCUCAACCUAGUGUUGUUUAUUGUUUUCUUGUUGCACUAGACAUCUGUUUUUUGGACAUGACCUGUGUUGAAUCAUUGUUAGUGGUUUCUGUUAACAAGACCAUAACAUUCAAGUAAAUAGCCAAAUUAUCAGCACAAGUGAUAGUAGUAUCUGUUUAAGAUGAUUUCAUUGAGUAUGAUUGUCUCCUCUUUCAC
RNAcentral lists this long non-coding RNA (392 nucleotides) under Trifolium pratense (red clover). Its description in RNAcentral is "long non-coding RNA (TPRA_LNC001393)". The record is from RNAcentral. Lineage: Eukaryota; Viridiplantae; Streptophyta; Magnoliopsida; Fabales; Fabaceae.